RNAcentral lists this small nuclear RNA (176 nucleotides) under Carlito syrichta (Philippine tarsier). Its description in RNAcentral is "U2 spliceosomal RNA (ENSTSYG00000023988.2)". It matches the Rfam family "U2 spliceosomal RNA". Rfam says of the family: U2 is a small nuclear RNA (snRNA) component of the spliceosome (involved in pre-mRNA splicing). Complementary binding between U2 snRNA (in an area lying towards the 5' end but 3' to hairpin I) and the branchpoint sequence (BPS) of the intron results the bulging out of an unpaired adenosine, on the BPS, which initiates a nucleophilic attack at the intronic 5' splice site, thus starting the first of two transesterification reactions that mediate splicing. Lineage: Eukaryota; Metazoa; Chordata; Mammalia; Primates; Tarsiidae. The record is from Rfam by way of RNAcentral.
AACACACCAGAGUUUAACAAAGCAGUGGCCUAGUAUAUGUUCUUAUCAGUCUGAUAUGCCUUAUAUCUGACAACAAUAUACUAAAUAAAUUUUUGAGGCAGUGGAAUAGGCGUUUACUCUGUCUAUUCCAUACAUUGACCUGGUAUUGUAGUACCUCCAGAAACGAUGUACCCCCC